GCAUCGGUGGUUCAGUGGUAGAAUGCUCGCCUGCCACGCGGGCGGCCAGGGGUUCUUUUUUUAUGCGGUUGAUGCG
Cordylochernes scorpioides is the source of this 76-nucleotide non-coding RNA. NCBI's taxonomy places the organism in Eukaryota, Metazoa, Arthropoda, Arachnida, Pseudoscorpiones, Chernetidae. The record is from the annotation of a GenBank genome assembly.